CCUACGGGAGGCUGCAGUAGGGGAUCUUCCACAAUGGACGAAAGUCUGAUGGAGCAACGCCGCGUGAGUGAUGAAGGUUUUCGGAUCGUAAAACUCUGUUGUAAGGGAAGAACAAGUACGAGAGGUAAUGCUCGUACCUUGACGGUACCUUGCGAGAAGGCCACGGCUAACUACGUGCCAGCAGCCGCGGUAAUACGUAGGUGGCAAGCGUUGUCCGGAAUUAUUGGGCGUAAAGCGCGCGCAGGCGGCCUUGUUAGUCUUGAGUGAAAGCCCCCGGCGCAACCGGGGAGGGUCCUUGGAAACUGGAAGGCUUGAGUACAGAAGAGAAGAGGGGAAUUCCAUGUGUAGCGGUGAAAUGCGUAGAGAUGGGGAGGAACACCAGUGGCGAAGGCGACUCUUUGGUCUGUAACUGACGCUGAGGCGCGAAAGCGUGGGGAGCAAACAGGAUUAGAUACCCCGGUAGUC
RNAcentral lists this ribosomal RNA (465 nucleotides) under uncultured Exiguobacterium sp. RNAcentral's name for it is "bacterial SSU rRNA". It matches the Rfam family "Bacterial small subunit ribosomal RNA", at positions 338 to 795 of the family's 1533-position model. Lineage: Bacteria; Bacillati; Bacillota; Bacilli; Caryophanales. The record is from RNAcentral.